AAAAGAAGCAGAGGGGGCUUAGUGGUGGGGUGACUGCGUACCUUUUGUAUAAUGGGUCAGCGACUUAUAUUCUGUAGCAAGGUUAACCGAAUAGGGGAGCCGGAGGGAAACCGAGUCUUAAUUGGGCGUUAAGUUGCAGGGUAUAGACCCGAAACCCGGUGAUCUAGCCAUGGGCAGGUUGAAGGUUGGGUAACACUAACUGGAGGACCGAACCGACUAAUGUUGAAAAAUUAGCGGAUGACCUGUGGCUGGGGGUGAAAGGCCAAUCAAACCGGGAGAUAGCUGGUUCUCCCCGAAAGCUAUUUAGGUAGCGCCUCGUGAAUUCAUCUCCGGGGGUAGAGCACUGUUUCGGCUAGGGGGCCAUCCCGGCUUACCAACCCGAUGCAAACUGCGAAUACCGGAGAAUGUUAUCACGGGAGACACACGGCGGGUGCUAACGUCCGUCGUGAAGAGGGAAACAACCCAGACCGCCAGCUAAGGUCCCAAAGUCAUGGUUAAGUGGGAAACGAUGUGGGAAGGCCCAGACAGCCAGGAUGUUGGCUUAGAAGCAGCCAUCAUUUAAAGAAAGCGUAAUAGCUCACUGGUCGAGUCGGCCUGCGCGGAAGAUGUAACGGGGCUAAACCAUGCACCGAAGCUGCGGCAGCGAACGUAUCACUUAAAGCGAUUCAGCGGAUGACGAUUGACGGAGCGAAGCGACGUCAAAGCGUAUACAAAGUCGAGUCGGUUUAAGGAUACGUUCGUUGGGUAGGGGAGCGUUCUGUAAGCCUGCGAAGGUGGCCUGUGAGGGUUGCUGGAGGUAUCAGAAGUGCGAAUGCUGACAUAAGUAACGAUAAAGCGGGUGAAAAGCCCGCUCGCCGGAAGACCAAGGGUUCCUGUCCAACGUUAAUCGGGGCAGGGUGAGUCGACCCCUAAGGCGAGGCCGAAAGGCGUAGUCGAUGGGAAACGGGUUAAUAUUCCCGUACUUGGUGUUACUGCGAAGGGGGGACGGAGAAGGCUAUGUUGGCCGGGCGACGGUUGUCCCGGUUUAAGCGUGUAGGUGUGUGUUCCAGGUAAAUCCGGUUCACUUUAACACUGAGGCGUGACGACGAGGCACUACGGUGCUGAAGCAACAAAUGCCCUGCUUCCAGGAAAAGCCUCUAAGCAUCAGGUAACAUCAAAUCGUACCCCAAACCGACACAGGUGGUCAGGUAGAGAAUACCAAGGCGCUUGAGAGAACUCGGGUGAAGGAACUAGGCAAAAUGGUGCCGUAACUUCGGGAGAAGGCACGCUGACACGUAGGUGAAGUGAUUUACUCAUGGAGCUGAAGUCAGUCGAAGAUACCAGCUGGCUGCAACUGUUUAUUAAAAACACAGCACUGUGCAAACACGAAAGUGGACGUAUACGGUGUGACGCCUGCCCGGUGCCGGAAGGUUAAUUGAUGGGGUCAGCGCAAGCGAAGCUCCUGAUCGAAGCCCCGGUAAACGGCGGCCGUAACUAUAACGGUCCUAAGGUAGCGAAAUUCCUUGUCGGGUAAGUUCCGACCUGCACGAAUGGCGUAAUGAUGGCCAGGCUGUCUCCACCCGAGACUCAGUGAAAUUGAACUCGCUGUGAAGAUGCAGUGUACCCGCGGCAAGACGGAAAGACCCCGUGAACCUUUACUAUAGCUUGACACUGAACAUUGAGCCUUGAUGUGUAGGAUAGGUGGGAGGCUUUGAAGCGUGGACGCCAGUCUGCGUGGAGCCGACCUUGAAAUACCACCCUUUAAUGUUUGAUGUUCUAACGUGGACCCGUUACCCGGGUUGCGGACAGUGUCUGGUGGGUAGUUUGACUGGGGCGGUCUCCUCCUAAAGAGUAACGGAGGAGCACGAAGGUUGGCUAAUCCUGGUCGGACAUCAGGAGGUUAGUGCAAUGGCAUAAGCCAGCUUGACUGCGAGCGUGACGGCGCGAGCAGGUGCGAAAGCAGGUCAUAGUGAUCCGGUGGUUCUGAAUGGAAGGGCCAUCGCUCAACGGAUAAAAGGUACUCCGGGGAUAACAGGCUGAUACCGCCCAAGAGUUCAUAUCGACGGCGGUGUUUGGCACCUCGAUGUCGGCUCAUCACAUCCUGGGGCUGAAGUAGGUCCCAAGGGUAUGGCUGUUCGCCAUUUAAAGUGGUACGCGAGCUGGGUUUAGAACGUCGUGAGACAGUUCGGUCCCUAUCUGCCGUGGGCGCUGGAGAACUGAGGGGGGCUGCUCCUAGUACGAGAGGACCGGAGUGGACGCAUCACUGGUGUUCGGGUUGUCAUGCCAAUGGCACUGCCCGGUAGCUAAAUGCGGAAGAGAUAAGUGCUGAAAGCAUCUAAGCACGAAACUUGCCCCGAGAUGAGUUCUCCCUGAGACUUUAGGUCUCCUGAAGGAACGUUGAAGACGACGACGUUGAUAGGCCGGGUGUGUAAGCGCAGCGAUGCGUUGAGCUAACCGGUACUAAUGAACCGUGAGGCUUAACCUUACAACGCCGAAG
This 2476-nucleotide ribosomal RNA is filed under the name Salmonella enterica subsp. enterica serovar Saintpaul. Its description in RNAcentral is "partial 23S ribosomal RNA". It matches the Rfam family "Bacterial large subunit ribosomal RNA", at positions 563 to 2925 of the family's 2925-position model. Lineage: Bacteria; Pseudomonadati; Pseudomonadota; Gammaproteobacteria; Enterobacterales; Enterobacteriaceae. The record is from RNAcentral.